CUACGGGGGGCAGCAGUGGGGAAUAUUGGACAAUGGGCGAAAGCCUGAUCCAGCAAUACCGCGUGAAUGAUGAAGGCCUUAGGGUUGUAAAGUUCUUUUAGUUGGAAAGAUAAUGACGGUACCAACAGAAAAAGCCCCGGCUAACUCCGUGCCAGCAGCUGCGGUAAGACGGAGGGGGCUAGCGUUGUUCAGAAUUACUGGGCGUAAAGGGCGCGUAGGCGGAUUAGUAAGUUGGGAGUGAAAGCCCGGGGCUUAGCCUCGGAACUGCUUUCAAAACUGCUAGUCUUGAGUGAAGUAGGGGAUGAUGGAAUUCCUAGUGUAGAGGUGAAAUUCUUAGAUAUUAGGAGGAACACCGGUGGCGAAGGCGGUCAUCUGGACUUCAACUGACGCUGAGGCGCGAAAGCGUGGGGAGCAAACAGGAUUAGAUACCCCAGUAGUC
RNAcentral lists this ribosomal RNA (439 nucleotides) under uncultured bacterium. RNAcentral's name for it is "partial 16S ribosomal RNA". It matches the Rfam family "Bacterial small subunit ribosomal RNA", at positions 339 to 795 of the family's 1533-position model. The record is from RNAcentral.